GGGGGUGUGGUGCAGUGGCCGAGUACACGCUUAGCGUGUGCAAGGCCUGGGGUUCAACUCCCAGCACCUCCA
This 72-nucleotide transfer RNA is filed under the name Ovis aries (sheep). It matches the Rfam family "tRNA". Rfam says of the family: Transfer RNA (tRNA) molecules are approximately 80 nucleotides in length. Their secondary structure includes four short double-helical elements and three loops (D, anti-codon, and T loops). The record is from Rfam by way of RNAcentral. Lineage: Eukaryota; Metazoa; Chordata; Mammalia; Artiodactyla; Bovidae.